UUUUCUUUUCUUUUCUUUUCUUUUUUUUUUUUGAGACAGGCUCUCACUCUGUCACCCAUGCUGGAGUGCACUGGUGUGAUCAUAGCCCACUGCAGGUUCAAUCCUUAGGCUCAAGACAUCCUCCCACCUCGGCCUCCCAAGGAGCUUGAGACUACAGGCAUGCAUCACUAUGCCUAGCUCUUUUAUUUUUUAUUUUCUAGAGGCAGGGUCUUGCUAUGUUGCCCAGACUGUUCUCAAAUUCCAGGGCUCAAGCAAUCCUCCUGCCUUGGCCUCUCAAAGCGUUUGGGUUACAGGCAUGAGCCACCAUGCCCAACCCCAAUUUUCAGUAGCACUGUCUUUUACAUAUUUAUUUUUAGGAACUUCAUAUACUUAAAAGCUAUGUAUGUUACAAACAUCUUCUCUAUCUCUGUGCCUUGCCCUUUCACUCCUGUAUGAAAAUUCUCUGAUGAAAUAAAGUGAUCAGUUUUAUUGCAGGCAAAUAAUCAUUCAUCCUGUGUGGCUAGUGCAUUCAGGUUCUGUUCAAAACAUCUUCUAUUACCCAGAGGUCGCCAGAUAAUCUAUAUUAUCUAUAUUAUCUGGUAGGAGCUGUUCUACCCACAUAUUGAGUUGAUUUCUUGUAUGGGGAGGUAGACACACAAUUUUAUUUUAUUUUUGCGAACAGUUAAUUGUCUUAGCACCAUCUGUGAAAAGAUCACCCUUCCUCUACACCUCCUCCUAGCACCAGGGUAAAAAAUAAAGAAAGGGAGGAGGAAUCUGGUUCCAUCAAAGCUGUUUUGAGCUCAGUAUUCAAUUAUUUUGGUCUGUUGAUCUCUUUCUGCCUUUGGGUCCAGGUAUCUGGAUCACCACUGCUUUAGAGGACACCCUGCUGUCUGGUACAGCAAAGGCCCUCACACUGUGUUCUUCAAGGGUAGCUUGGCUCUGCUUGGCCUUUGCUAUGUGCUUGUCAGUAUUCUCUCACCCAACAGAACUAUGGUUGACUGGGAUUUAUACUUUCAGGUCUUCCACAGCCUUUUAACUAUUUAUUGAGAUCUUUUUUACUGUCUCUCAACAAUGUUUAAUAAUUUCCCCCCCAACAAACCAUCUAAAGAUCUUUUGUUGGCUUGCAAUUGGUAACUACAAGACUUUGGAUGGUACUGGAAAUCUCUUAAAACAUUAUUUUCCAUCUACUUGUUUCUGGUACAUAGAUCUAGAAGUGUUUUCUGUAUAUUGAUUUUUUUAUGUGAUAACCAUUCCCAAAUGUCUUACUAAUAAUUAGGGGUUUUUUUGGACUUUCUAAAUUAAUAACCAUAUCAUCUGUGAGUUGCAUGUUUUAUUUUCCAAGUUUUACACCUUGUACUUUCUUUUCCUCCUCUGUCUGCUAUACAGUGUUGGAAGAAGUGGUGAUGGAUGGAGUCCUUGUCCUGUUUCCAAUCUCAAAGGCGACACUUUCAAGGUUUCAUGUUUGUGUAAUAUUAGCUUGUUUUCUUUAUACUAUUGCUUAUGAAAUUAAGGAAAAAAUGUUUUUAUUUAGAGUUUGUUAAGAAUUAUAUGACAUGAAUUGAUGCUAAAUUUUUCCAAAUUUUUUUUGCAUAUUUAUGAUGUUGUACUUUAUCCAAUGCUUUUAGUCUCCAUAUUGGGGUAAUCACAUUCGUUUUUCUUUCAAUCUAUUAAUGUCACAUUUUGUACUGAUUUUCAAAUGUUUCUCAUGUUAAACCAGCCUUGCACUACUGGACUAUGACUUUUGUCAUUGUGUGUUAUCCUCUUGAUAAAUUGCUGAAUUCAGGGUGCUAAUACUUAGUUUAAGAUAAUGAGCCUUGACACUGAUAAGAGAUUGGCCAAUUUUAAUUCUUCAUAUUCACCCUGUCAGAGCUUUGUAUUAAUGAUAUUUACCUACAUUAAACGAGAUAGAGCACUGAGGUCCUUUUUCAAUACUCUAGAGGAAUGUGUAUGAACAUGGAAUAAUUUCUUUCUAUAAUAUUUGGUACAGUUUACAGUAGAGCACUGGGGUAAUCUUCUAUGAGAAGAUUAUUUGUUGCAUUUCUAUAAAAGGUUAUAGGACUGUUCAACUUACCUAUUUUUACUUUUGAUAUAGUUUUGAAGAAAUUGAUCAAUUUGCCAAAACUUUUCAAAUUUGAUUACAUAAAUAAUAGGGCCGGGCAUGGUGGCUCACCCCUGUAAUUAGAGCACUUUGGGAGGCCGAGGCAGGCCAGACUCUUUUAACAAAAUAUAUACAUAUCUUAGGUGUGCUGAGAUAGCUUAAGCUCUUUCUUCCUUUCUACUGCUAAAUUCAUAAAUCAGACUCCAAGGGGGAAUUCUGACUCAGAAUGUUGUAACUAGAGACAAAAGGAAAGCCAGAUUAGCCUUAAGAAGAGCACUUGGAAUCUCACAAUUGUAUCCCAGGGGCACAGUCACCAGCCCUCUGGGCUGGGAUUUUUUGCACAGACACUGCAAGAAAACAAGGACCGAGAUUUUGCCACGUAUAGGUGCACAGUGAGCUUCUAAAGCUUCUAGAUCCAUGAAAAAAAAAGGAAAGAGUCUCCUGGGACACCAAAAGCUUUGAUGCUCCGAAGUUCAGUCUGGAGAGAAUUCCAACUGGGACUGCGUGGGCAGAAUUUCCCCUAUGUGGUUCAUAUGAAUUCAAAAUGUCUCUCAUGGGCUAGAAGCCCCACAUGGUGCUGAAGGGAGGCAGGCGGGAGAUACUGGAUGAUAGAAAGGACACCCCACUUUCCCAGGGGAGGCACCUGGUCCACCUCAGACCACAGGGCCAGAUAGUGCCAGGGGCCUGGACACCAAAGAGCACGGGGGUUUGGGGCAGGGGCUCAGUGUGAUGAGGCUGCACUGCAUGGGAACGCCGCUCCAAGUGCACCACAGGGCCUGGCCCUCCCUGUACCCUCCCAUCCAGCCAAGCCUGGCCCAGCCACAGGCAUGAACCUGGUAAGUGAGGGCAUGGAGAAGUGGAGAGGUGGAGUCUCAUGGAAAGGGCACUGGGGGCCGUGAAGUCCAUCAGCCAGUCUCAUCAUCACCUCCACACAAGGUCACUCUCCAUCCCCCAGAGUACUGACCUGCCACGUGCAGGCGGAAGGAGAGCCGCUGGCCCCCCGCCUCGCAGCUGUACUCCCCAGCGUCUGCCUGACCCGCCUGCUGCACCACCAGCCUCCGUGUGCAGCCCUCGGCCUCCACAUGCACUUUCGAGCUGGAGCUCAGCUUCUUCCCGUCCUUGUACCACAUCACCUCCGUCUGGGCCUGGGCCACCUCGCAGUUGAGCGUGGCGCUGGCCCCCGCCUGGGCCUGCACCUCCCUGUGCACCAGCUGCUCCUUGGCAAACACCGCCUUGGGCUCUGGGGAAGGCAAAAUGCACAGGGUGACCACCACCAUCUAGGUCAGGAAGGCAGAACUGGGGAGAGAAGGCCUGGAAGGGGAGGUGCGAGGGACAGAUGCUCUCCAGGCUGCACCACCACCUCCCAGCACAAGGAAGCUUCUCCAUCUAUUCUGUACGGUGCCACAGGCUGUCCUUGGUAGGGUGGCUGUGACAGAUCUUGCAAGCACGAGCUCAUCUGGGGCAGGGAUUGGUGUCCUGAUGCCUGUACCCUUCCCCUCAUGAAUGGAGCAAGGGUCUCCCCAUGCGGCUGUGCAGGGCGCAUCCUCACCACAGAACCCCAGUCCUGAGGCUCCCAAUCCUGCCACUGUCAGGACGGUCAGCUUUGGCCUCAGUGGGGUGUGUCACUGUGGCUUUCUUUAUUGUUCUACGGCUCACAGGGCUGAGCAUCUUUCUAGAGGAUUGGCCAUUCUGUUUGCUCCUCUGUAGUGUCACUACUCAAUUCUAUCCCAUUAUUAAUAGCACUGUCUUGUCUUUAUUCACUUUAAGGCAGCAGUCCCCAACAUUUUUGGCAGCAGGGACCAGUUUCAUGGAAGACAAUUUUUCCACAGAUGGAGGUCUGGGGGACAGUUUCAGGAUGAAACUGUUCCACUUCAGAUCAUCAGGCAUUAGAUUCUCGUAAGGAGCACAACCUAGAUCCCUCCCAUGCACAGUUCCCAAUAGGGUUCAUGUUCCUAUGAGAAUCUAGUGCUGCUGCUGAUCUGACAGGAGGCAGAGCUCAGGCAGGAAUGCUCACCUGCCACUUACCUCCUACUGUGUGGCCCAGUUCCUAACAGGCCACAGAACAGUACUGGUCC
This is a long non-coding RNA of Macaca fascicularis (crab-eating macaque), 4152 nucleotides long. The record is from Ensembl. NCBI's taxonomy places the organism in Eukaryota, Metazoa, Chordata, Mammalia, Primates, Cercopithecidae.